RNAcentral lists this microRNA precursor (76 nucleotides) under Prunus dulcis (almond). RNAcentral's name for it is "sRNA ncRNA". The record is from RNAcentral. Lineage: Eukaryota; Viridiplantae; Streptophyta; Magnoliopsida; Rosales; Rosaceae.
UUUGGAUGUUGAUGUGUGUGUGUGUGUUUGUGUAUCUCAAAGACACAAGCACACACACAUCAUCAACUUCCAAAAA